GAGGGUGUAGCUCAUUGGUAGGGCACAUGCUUAGCAUGCACGAGGUCCUGGGUUCCAUCCCCAGUACCUCCC
RNAcentral lists this transfer RNA (72 nucleotides) under Camelus bactrianus (Bactrian camel). It matches the Rfam family "tRNA". Rfam says of the family: Transfer RNA (tRNA) molecules are approximately 80 nucleotides in length. Their secondary structure includes four short double-helical elements and three loops (D, anti-codon, and T loops). The record is from Rfam by way of RNAcentral. RNAcentral also lists the same sequence under 2 other names. Lineage: Eukaryota; Metazoa; Chordata; Mammalia; Artiodactyla; Camelidae.